GAUGAACGCUGGCGGCGUGCCUAACACAUGCAAGUCGAGCGAUCUUCUUCGGAAGAGAGCGGCGGACGGGUGAGUAACGCGUGGGUAACCUGCCCUGUACACACGGAUAACAUACCGAAAGGUAUGCUAAUACGGGAUAAUAUGCUUUUAUCGCAUGGUAGAAGUAUCAAAGCUCCGGCGGUACAGGAUGGACCCGCGUCUGACUAGCUAGUUGGUAAGGUAACGGCUUACCAAGGCGACGAUCAGUAGCCGACCUGAGAGGGUGAUCGGCCACAUUGGAACUGAGACACGGUCCAAACUCCUACGGGAGGCAGCAGUGGGGAAUAUUGCACAAUGGGCGAAAGCCUGAUGCAGCAACGCCGCGUGAGCGAUGAAGGCCUUCGGGUCGUAAAGCUCUGUCCUCAAGGAAGAUAAUGACGGUACUUGAGGAGGAAGCCCCGGCUAACUACGUGCCAGCCGCCGCAGUAA
Molecule: ribosomal RNA, 468 nt
Filed under: uncultured bacterium
Lineage: Bacteria
Description: partial 16S ribosomal RNA
Rfam family: Bacterial small subunit ribosomal RNA
Source: RNAcentral